Molecule: long non-coding RNA, 365 nt
Organism: Pygocentrus nattereri (red-bellied piranha)
Lineage: Eukaryota; Metazoa; Chordata; Actinopteri; Characiformes; Serrasalmidae
Exons: 3
Source: RefSeq, a predicted model, not a curated record
ACUUGGCUGAUGGUCAUCGAACGGUAGGUUGCUCCUAAAGGUGGCGCUACUUGGCUUGCGGUUUAACAUUAAUGGGUAAUGUCCCUAUGCAGGUGUGCUGGUCUAGGCAAGCUUCUCUCCCCAUUCUGUGUCGACGGUGCGUUGGCGCCGAGCUCUCGGAAACAUCUUAAACGCGGUAGCCGUUUGUUGUGGCUUCACUGCAUUUUAUCACUCCUGUAAUCUGGUUGUGCUGGAGCAGCACCUAUCCGUAGAGGAGGAUGAUGAUGUCCCCCCUACCAUUUGUAAGAAGAAGGUAAAGAAGAAGUUGCUGGUGGAACAGCCCAAAGAUGGAGAUCUUGAGAAUCUGUCCGGCGGUGGAGACGAAC